Molecule: ribosomal RNA, 253 nt
Filed under: uncultured bacterium
Lineage: Bacteria
Description: partial 16S ribosomal RNA
Rfam family: Bacterial small subunit ribosomal RNA
Source: RNAcentral
UACGUAGAGGGCAAGCGUUGUCCGGAAUCACUGGGCGUAAAGGGUACGUAGGCGGAUAUAUAAGUCAAAUGUGAAAGGCACCGGCUUAACCGGUGAGCUGCAUUUGAAACUGUAUAUCUUGAGUUCAGGAGAGGAGAGCGGAAUUCCUGGUGUAGCGGUGGAAUGCGUAGAUAUCAGGAAGAACACCAGUGGCGAAGGCGGCUCUCUGGCCUGAAACUGACGCUCAGGUACGAAAGCGGGGGUAGCAAACAGG